GUGCCAGCAGCCGCGGUAAGACAGAGGUUGCAAACGUUGUUCGGAAUUACUGGGCAUAAAGCGCACGUAGGUGGUCCGCUAAGUCGUGUGUGAAAUGCCCCGGCUCAACCGGGGAAUUGCGCACGAUACUGGCGGGCUAGAGGUCGGGAGGGGUGAGUGGAACUCCAGGUGGAGCGGUGAAAUGCGUAGAUAUCUGGAGGAACACCGGUGGCGAAAGCGGCUCACUGGCCCGAAUCUGACACUGAGGUGCGAAAGCUAGGGUAGCAAACGGGAUUAGAUACCCGUGUAGUCC
Molecule: ribosomal RNA, 292 nt
Filed under: uncultured bacterium
Lineage: Bacteria
Description: partial 16S ribosomal RNA
Rfam family: Bacterial small subunit ribosomal RNA
Source: RNAcentral